UUACCCCCUUUGAGUUCGGCCAACUGGAGUUUUAGGAGGUCCGGACGAUUCUGGACGUUUUUUUCUUCGAUAGCUCGGUCAGAAAGCUUCUCCGGAGCUUUGAAUAUUUUGAUUGCGUACGAAGAUGCAGGUCGAAAGGUAUCUCAUUAGGCGUCUGGACACCUGAAGCGAAGUGGUUACUGGGUUAUUUUGGUGUGUAGUGAUGUAUAUACACGUACUUAGCUUUCUCUUCGCAUAACUUAUUCUUUUUGAUCCUCCUAGAGAUUUAUGGAGAGGCAGGGUUUUGUUUAUGUACAUUUUGGGUUUUGGAUAUAUAUAUAUAUAUAUAUUA
Non-coding RNA from Arachis ipaensis, 331 nucleotides. The record is from RefSeq and is a predicted model, not a curated record. Lineage: Eukaryota; Viridiplantae; Streptophyta; Magnoliopsida; Fabales; Fabaceae.